Mus musculus (house mouse) is the source of this 7095-nucleotide RNA transcript. It is a transcript of the gene named RAD51 paralog D, with no coding region annotated. The record is from RefSeq and is marked reviewed. NCBI's taxonomy places the organism in Eukaryota, Metazoa, Chordata, Mammalia, Rodentia, Muridae. The transcript has 10 exons.
GGCGGGCCUAGGGCGCCUAGAGUCUUGCGAGUUGGGAAGGGUUAGUGUCCCUCACCUCGACUUGCAUCCUCUUCCCGCCCCUUCGUCCCGCGCUGGCACGCCAGGACCUUUUCCCUAAGUAGAACUGAGGAAUGCCCAGAGUGGGGGACUCGGCGAGCGCCCAAGUGACAGAGAGCCCCCAGGGCAUCCUGGGUUUGUAGGGACUAUGGGCAUGCUCAGGGCAGGGCUGUGCCCGGGCCUCACCGAGGAGACCGUCCAGCUUCUCAGAGGCCGAAAGAUAAAAACAGUGGCAGACCUGGCAGCUGCUGACUUGGAGGAAGUAGCCCAGAAGUGUGGCUUGUCCUACAAGGCCCUCGUUGCCCUGAGGAGGGUGUUGCUGGCGCAGUUCUCGGCUUUCCCCUUAAAUGGCGCAGAUCUCUAUGAGGAACUGAAGACUUCCACGGCCAUCCUGUCCACCGGCAUCGGAAGGUUUGUAUGCGAACCUGGACAAGCCUGGACAAACUACUUGAUGCUGGCCUCUAUACUGGGGAGGUGACUGAAAUUGUGGGUGGCCCAGGUAGCGGCAAAACCCAGGUGUGUCUCUGUGUGGCUGCAAAUGUGGCCCAUAGCCUGCAGCAGAAUGUACUGUAUGUGGAUUCCAAUGGAGGAAUGACGGCGUCCCGCCUCCUCCAGCUACUACAGGCUAGAACCCAAGAUGAGGAGAAACAGGCAAGUGCUCUCCAGAGGAUACAGGUGGUGCGUUCAUUUGACAUCUUCCGGAUGCUAGAUAUGCUACAGGACCUUCGCGGCACCAUAGCCCAGCAGGAAGCAACUUCUUCAGGCGCCGUGAAGGUUGUGAUUGUGGACUCGGUCACUGCAGUGGUCGCCCCACUUCUGGGAGGUCAGCAGAGGGAAGGCCUGGCCUUGAUGAUGCAGCUGGCCCGAGAGCUCAAGAUCCUGGCCCGGGACCUGGGUGUGGCAGUGGUGGUGACCAACCACUUGACUCGAGAUUGGGAUGGUAGAAGAUUCAAACCUGCCCUUGGACGCUCCUGGAGCUUUGUGCCCAGUACCCGGAUUCUCCUGGAUGUCACUGAGGGGGCUGGGACACUCGGUAGCAGCCAACGCACAGUAUGUCUGACCAAGUCUCCCCGCCAGCCAACGGGUCUGCAGGAGAUGAUAGACAUUGGGACAUUGGGGACUGAGGAGCAGAGCCCAGAAUUACCUGGCAAGCAGACGUGACACUGUUGAUUGGGAAAGGGACAGCCUCAAGGCCCCCACAGCUUUCCUUCCCGGGCAGCUACUGUCCCCUGCCACAUGGGACCUAGCAGUGCAGAGGUCUCAGGCUCAUCAGAAGACAAGCCUCAGUCCCCUCAGCUUCAUUGUGUGAGAUCUCAUGGAGCCCCUGGCCAGGGGAUGCUGCAGUGAGAGAGACCUAGAAGUCCAUCAGGGUCUCAAGUUUUCUUCCUUUGUGUCUACCGAAUGUUUCCAGUGUGGGUUGAGGUCAACCUAGCUUGAGGCCUCACUGAAGAAACACAGUAGUACCUGCAUGAAUAGUGUCCUGGUCCUGUGUGUUACCAUUGGUUCCUAAACCCCUCCCUCACACAGUAAUUGGGCCUUUGCUCACCCAUUCCCCCCCCCCCAUUUAUUUUGGUCUGUUUUCCCAUCUGCAAGAUGGCAGUUUCUCAGUCUGCAAGUUAUUCAGUAGAAACAACCUCAGAAAUGUCAACCUCUUUAUGCAUAUCCUACUUUUUUAAUGUCCUACUCUUAAAUAUAUAUAACCAAGGAGGCCCUCUGAGCCCUAGAGCCACCUGAUUUCCCCUAAGAAGGUGGGUUUUUUAGUUCGUGCAGUGGGGCUCCCAGAGAAUGAGAGUGCCUCCUUCCCUGCUUGCUGACUGGGUUUCACACACCUGCAUACCUCACCCUGAUAGGUGAGAACACAGCUCGCUGCUGUCCCAGGGAUAUAAUUUACCAGGGAGGAAGGCUAUGACCUGCUCUCAGUGAACCAGACACUUGUUUCAUAUGCAUGGUGGCCUGUGGGGUGCUUCCUCAGUCUAGAGUAACCAGAGGUGCUGAACCAUAGCCUAACCCAUAAACAGACACAGGAGAAUUUGCACAGUAAAUAGAGCCAGCUGGGAAAAUUGAUGCCGGCGUAAAUAAUACAUGGCAAAUCUAGUCUUUUAUACAGAAAUUCAUUGCUGGUGGCUCUAAGAUGCAGUAUAAUUACACCUCUCGUCCUGCCAGCUGUACCACAGCCUCAUGUCUUAGUGAAUAAAAUAACCCCCUGUCUGUUACCAACACUGUGGCCAUCCAUCUGAGAGUCAUAACUCUGGCUGAAAGGGGAGGAUGGUACCAGGAACGGCAAAUAAAAGGCAGAGAGAAAUGAUCUGGGUUGUUUAUGGACCACAGUUUUUACAGGAAGGUCAUGCUUGGUUAGAGAGCCCGUUGUAUAAUUGCUUGUGUCCUAGCUGAGGGAAAGAGGGAACACAGUUAUAGGAUCUGAUAUUUAGGGCCAGUGAGAUGGCUCAGCCAGUGAAGAUGCUUGCCACCAAGCCAGACAAUCCGAGUUCAAUCCCUGGGUCCCACAUAAUGGGAAGAGAGAAGAGAGACUUGCAAAUGGUCCUCUGGCUUCCAUACAUCCUGUGGACUAUCUACGCCUCUGAUGUGUGAUAAUAAAAAUGUAACAAUUAAAAAAAGAAAACAAGACCUUUACAGGUGAUAGGCAUAGCAGGGAUAGGCAUAGGCCUGAAGGAUGGAGAUGAAUGACAAAGGGGCAGGGGGUGUUUGCACGAACGACAAUGUGGUUAGACUUAAACUCUCACACUGUCUUCCACAGAAGACCCCAGGAGACAUCAGUCUCUGGUAUCUACACCAUGGCUGGUUGGUUGGCAGGUUACUUCCUGCAACCCAAGUGAGAAGCAAUAUAUUAAACCAGGCAAAGCAAAUACCGGCCACUCUUGAUGCGCUUUGGCCAUCGAGACCUUAGCAGAUGGUACCAGUUAGUCAAGGGCACUCUCAUGGAAUGUUUCACAGUUUCUUAGUGCAGUUUUGCAAGGAACCACUGCAAGUUAGGGACUUGGGUGUUCAGGGAGGAGCCCGGUUGCCGGCUCUCCCCUGGGCGGGUCUGCCCUGUAUCCUGCCCGUUGUGAUUUCAAGUGCUUCAUAUGUGAGUGAGAACAGCACUGUAUUAGAGACCCAUAAGGAUCAUUUGGCCUGGAUUGUCUCCCACACCCCCAGCCCCUGCUCUCCAUCCCACAAAUGUGGGAUGACUCGAAUCCAGGACCUUGUGUGUGCUAACCAUAGCUUCCACCACUGAGAUGCACAGCCAGCUCCCAUCUCAUAUUGUUAAGAGAAAGAACCAAGCCUUUAAAUGUGACAGUUCUGGUGGCAGAACUAAAGGCCCCCUGUGUCUCUUCUUGUUCUUUCUGCAUUUGUGAGAGCUUGUGAGUGAGUGGCUUUAAUGCCUUUUAGAGAUAUCAAAGCGUGGCCUAGGGGUGCUAGGAUGCUUGCCUAGCACCGACAAAGCUCUAGAUUUGAUCCUUAGAUCAAGAAAAAUGUAAGAGAGUGAUGUAGGAUUGUUUCUCUCAUGAUGUGGAUAGCCAUUAGGCCCCUGCUGUCUUUUGUCUUCUUUCACCAUCAUACAAGGUCUUUGUAUGUCUGUUUGAAACUAGACAAAAUUAAUGUUAAAUACCUACUGUCCAAUAGCACUUGAUGGUCUCAAGUCGGGAAGCUGAGCUUUCCUAACAGGAUUAAAAAGAAAAAAAAAGUCCAUGUAUUAUUGAGGCUGCUUUCCAUAGCAAGUAACAAAACUCCACUUAGGCAUCAAUGAUAAGGAAGGUUACUCAUCGCUGAGAAGGUGAUACCAAGGCUGAUCAAUGCAAUGGCCCAAUGUGGAAAAGCCGUGGCUUUUCUCUCCGUCUUCCCUGUUGCUUUUGUUCUCAAGCUUGUUGCCUUCAUUAAAACCUGGCUGUAGCCUCUCUGAGCAGUAGGCCAUAUACGACAAUACCCACGGGCAGGGAAGGGACCCUCUCCUUGUGUCCUUUGAGGAGCAAGGAAAACUCAGAGCAUCCUAAUGUCAAGUGGUAUGUCCCAUUCAGUAGUGGAAAAGGAAAUGGGGCCUGUUCUAGUUGCAGUUUGUGUUGCUGUGAAGAGACACCAUGACCAAGGCAACUUUUAUAAAGGAUAACAUUUAAUUGAGGCUGGCUUACAGUUGCAGAGGUGGGAAGAAUGAUAGCGUGCAGGUUGACACGGGGCUAGAGGAGCGGUUCUGAUCCUAGGGCAGCCGGAAGGAGGGUCUUGACCACACUGGGUGGAGCUUGAGCAUAGACCCUCAAAGCCCACCCCAACAGUGACGCACUUCCUUCAACAAGGCCACACCUCCUAAGAGUGUCACUCCUUGUGGGCCAAGCAUUCAAACACUAUGGGGGGGGGGGGGCAAAAACCUAUUCAAACUACCACAGUGCCUCAGUGGUAGUUUUAGACCAACCAAGAAACAGUCAUGGAGUUGGGGCUCUGGCUAAGCUUUUAUUUACUUAUUAUUUAUUUAUUUAUUUAUUUAUUUAUUUAUUUAUUUAUUUAUUUAUUUGAGGCACCUGCUGUGGGAUAGACUGUGUGGAGGAAUUAGACAGUGGGUGGGCUUGUGUGUGUGCUCAGUGCCUUAGCACAGGUCUCACUGAGGGCCUAGGACAAGCUGAGUGGCGCUGAGAAUCUCUUCAUUUUACAGACUAAAUGGAGCUUGUUGAGGUUUUAGGACAUGUUUCUGUUAAGCGACAGCAUGGGAGUCUAAACUUGAAUCCGUUUGAUGCCAGACUUUCUUUUCUCAACCUCUUGCUGCUUUCAGCUGAAAAUAUGUAAAUAUUUUAACAAAAUUCUCUUUCAUAUUUUGCCCCAAACAGCAGAGGCUGCGUAUCUCAACCCCUUUUCAGCUGAGCUCACCAUAAAAAGCUCGAUCACAGAUCUGCUUUAUCACCUCUCCCUAGUUUCCUUUCCCCCAGGGAAGAGAGAAUGACAAAUACUCGAGAGAAGGCAGAUAGCGUGUGUGUGUGUGUGUGUGUGUGUGUGUGUGUGUGUGUGUGUGUGUGUAAGAGAGCUGAAGGGUUAGAGGGGAGGAAAGCUGAAUGAGAAACAGCAGGCUCUGCGCAUGCCUGACAACCAGGAGAUAAGGCAUAGAGAUGUAAGCAGAGCCUGCUAGGCUUUCACUGUAUUCUGGCUGGGAGGUGUCUGGGUAGAGUUUCAGCUGUCCAGUUCUUUGUGUUGGUGAUGUGUGUGUAUGUACAGCUGAAAUUAUAAAAUGAAUAUGUAGCUGGGUGGUGGUGGUGCACGCCUUUAAUCCCAGCACUUGGGAGGCAGAGGCAGGUGGAUUUCUGAGUUCGAGGCCAGCCUGGUCUAUAAAGUGACCAGGACAGCCAGGGCCACACAGAGAAACCCUGUCUUUAAAAAAACAAAACAAACAAACAAAAAAAAAAAAACAAAAAAAAAAGGAAAAAAAAAGAAAAAUAAUAAAAUGAAUAUGUAUAUUUUUAUACUACAUGUAUGUGUGUAUGCAUUGUACACCACAUUGUGGUGGUCUGAAUAAGAAAGGCCCCAUAGGCUUAUCUAUGUGAAUGUUUAGUCAUUAGGGAGUGGCACUUCUUGAGAAGGAUUAGGAGGUGUGGUACUGUUGGAAGGAGUGUGUCACUGGGGUUAGGCUUUGAAGUCUCAAAAGCCCAAGCCAGGUCCAGUUUCUCUCUCUUCCUACUGCCUGUGGAUCCAGAUGUAGAACUCUCACCUAUUUCUCUAGCACCAUGUCUGCCUGUGUGCCGCCAUGCUCCCCACCAUGAUGAUAAUGCAUGAAACCUCUGAAACAUUAAGCCAGCCCCAAUUAAAUAUCUUCUAAGAGUCACCUUGAUCAUAGUGUCUCUUCCCAGCAAUAGAACAGAGACCAAGACAUACACACAUAUGAUUUUUUUAUUUUUACUUUUUGGAGAAAAGGUGUCUGACCUGGUGAGAUCUUGAACCUUCAGUUCUCCUGCUUCAGCCUCCAGACUGCUGGAUUAUAGGUCUGUGUCAACUCAACUGGCUUCGUUUCCUCCAUUGCUUGUUUUAUUCAUUUUAUCUUUCAAAAGAUUUAUUUAUUUUAUGUAUAUGAAUGUUUUGUCUGCAUGUAGAUAUGUGCACCCUGUGUGUACCUGGUGCUUAUGGAGGCCAGAGGAAAGUAUUGGAUCUCCUGGAACUAGACUUACAGGUAUUUGGGAGCCACUAUAUAGUAGCUGCAAACUAAACCCAGAUACUCUGCAAGAUCAACAAAUGCACUUAAUAGCUGAGCCAUCCUUCCAGUCCCUUAUUUUGAAUAAGAGCAAGGUAUAGUAUCAGUCAGGUAGUAAAGCACUGUCUAGCAUGUCUAAGGUCCUGGUUUUAAUAUCUAGUACACCAGCUCCGCACAUACAGACAGACAACAUUCACCAUUAAUGCCUCUAUUUAUCUAUCUAUCUACCUAUCAUCUAUCUCUCUGUAAAAGAGUAGGAUUCUUGACUCCCAAGUACUGAGAUUAAAGGUGUGUGCCCUCACCAGCUGUCAACAGCUUGACAUAUUGACGUGUGUGUGUGUGUGUGUGUGUGUGUGUGUGUGUGUGUGUGUGUGUGUGUGUGUGUGUGUGCCGUGAUGUCUGGCUGAUUUUUAUGGAGAGUCAUAUCCUGAGAUGUUAGAGUGGCCCAUGGUUGGUGAUUUAGGACUUUGGAAUCAAGGAAAGACCCAGGUUUAGUACCUUGCUGCACUCUUCCUGCCAGAGUCCCCUUGGACAAGAUAAUGUGUUUGUUUUACUGGUAAAAAUCUAUGUUAUACAGAGUUACAUUUUCCUUAUUGGUAAAAUGUGUAUCUCAGGGGAGUUAAGUAGGUGAUUUAUGCAAAGUGCCUUUCACAGAGAGACUAGCACAUAGUAGGUGCUCCAUCACUAUUAGUUCUUCUGGCGCCUGCCAGAAGUAACAGAAAUCAGGGCACUAGGACUUAGAAGCCUUGCUGCUACUAAUAAAAGAAAUAAUGUGAUUUAUUUUUUCAGUGCUGUUUGGGGAAAGGCGUGUGCUUUAUAAAUAUGUAUUGGAAAGUACUUAGCAAAUGAGUAGAAAUAAUAAAAAUAUGUCAAAG